AAUGAACGUUGGCGGCGUGGAUUAGGCAUGCAAGUCGUACGGGCCGCAAGGCCAGUGGCGCAAGGGUGAGUAAGGCGACGGUAACCAACCCCCGGGACUGGGAUAGCGGCGGGAAACUGCCGGUAAUACCAGAUGAUAUCUUCGGAUCAAACGUGUGAAACGGCCCGGGGAGGUGACCAUGUCCUAUCAGCUAGUUGGCGGUGUAACGGACCACCAAGGCUAAGACGGGUAUGGGGCGUGAGAGCGUGCCCCCACUCACUGGGACUGAGACACUGCCCAGACACCUACGGGUGGCUGCAGUCGAGAAUCUUCGGCAAUGGGCGCAAGCCUGACCGAGCGACGCCGCGUGCGGGAUGAAGGCCUUCGGGUUGUAAACCGCUGUCGUAGGGGAGGAAGAUCCUGUGAAGAACAGGGUUUGACCGAUCCUAGGAGGAAGGGACGGCUAACUCUGUGCCAGCAGCCGCGGUAAUACAGAGGUCCCAAGCGUUGUUCGGAUUCACUGGGCGUAAAGGGUGCGUAGGUGGCCAGGUAAGUUUGGUGUGAAGGCUCGGAGCUUAACUCCGAAAAGUCAUUGAAUACUAUCUGGCUGGAGGGUCGGAGGGGAGACUGGAAUUCUCGGUGUAGCAGUGAAAUGCGUAGAUAUCGAGAGGAACACCAGUGGCGAAAGGCGAGUCUCUGGACGACUCCUGACACUGAGGCACGAAAGCUAGGGGAGCAAACAGGAUUAGAUACCCUGGUAGUCCUAGCCGUAAACGGUGGGCGCUAGGUGUGGGGGCCAUUCCACGGUCUCUGUGCCGUAGCUAACGCAUUAAGCGCCCGCCUGGGAGUACGGCCGCAAGGCUAAA
Molecule: ribosomal RNA, 845 nt
Filed under: uncultured bacterium
Lineage: Bacteria
Description: bacterial SSU rRNA
Rfam family: Bacterial small subunit ribosomal RNA
Source: RNAcentral